AUUGAACGCUGGCGGCAGGCCUAACACAUGCAAGUCGAGCGGUAGAGCGAAGCUUGCUUCUCUUGAGAGCGGCGGACGGGUGAGUAAUGCCUAGGAACCUGCCUGGUAGUGGGGGAUAACGUUCGGAAACGGACGCUAAUACCGCAUACGUCCUACGGGAGAAAGCAUGGGACCUUCGGGCCUUGCGCUAUCAGAUGAGCCUAGGUCGGAUUAGCUAGUUGGUGGGGUAAUGGCUCACCAAGGCGACGAUCCGUAACUGGUCUGAGAGGAUGAUCAGUCACACUGGAACUGAGACACGGUCCAGACUCCUACGGGAGGCAGCAGUGGGGAAUAUUGGACAAUGGGCGAAAGCCUGAUCCAGCCAUGCCGCGUGUGUGAAGAAGGUCUUCGGAUUGUAAAGCACUUUAAGUUGGGAGGAAGGGCAGUAGAUUAAUACUUUGCUGUUUUGACGUUACCGACAGAAUAAGCACCGGCUAACUCUGUG
RNAcentral lists this ribosomal RNA (484 nucleotides) under uncultured bacterium. RNAcentral describes it as "partial 16S ribosomal RNA". It matches the Rfam family "Bacterial small subunit ribosomal RNA", at positions 30 to 507 of the family's 1533-position model. The record is from RNAcentral.